Molecule: ribosomal RNA, 386 nt
Filed under: Coxiella-like endosymbiont
Lineage: Bacteria; Pseudomonadati; Pseudomonadota; Gammaproteobacteria; Legionellales; Coxiellaceae
Description: partial 16S ribosomal RNA
Rfam family: Bacterial small subunit ribosomal RNA
Source: RNAcentral
GAACGCUAUCGGUAUGCUUAACACAUGCAAGUCGAACGGCAGCGGGGGGAGCUUAGCUCCCUGACGGCAAGUGGCGGACGGGUGAGUAGUACGUAGGAAUCUACCUUAUAGUGGGGGGAUAACCUGGGGAAACUCAGGCUAAUACCGCAUAAUCUUUUUUAAAAAGCAAAGCGGGGGAUCUUCGGACCUCGUGCUAUAGGAUGAGCCUGCGUCGGAUUAGCUAGUUGGUAGGGUAAUAGCUUACCAAGGCAACAAUCCGUAGCUGGUCUGAGAGGACGAUCAGCCACACUGGGACUGAGACACGGCCCAGACUCCUACGGGAGGCAGCAGUGGGGAAUAUUGGACAAUGGGGGAAACCCUGAACCAGCAAUACCGAGUGAGUGAUG